GGGCGAGUAGCUCAGUUGGUCAGAGCGCACGGUUCACAUCCGUGAGGUCAGGGGUUCGAGACCCUUCUCGCCCACCA
Molecule: transfer RNA, 77 nt
Filed under: Caldilineae bacterium
Lineage: Bacteria; Bacillati; Chloroflexota; Caldilineae
Description: tRNA-Val
Rfam family: tRNA
About the family: Transfer RNA (tRNA) molecules are approximately 80 nucleotides in length. Their secondary structure includes four short double-helical elements and three loops (D, anti-codon, and T loops).
Source: RNAcentral